CCAGAGAACUUAGCAGAGAUGCCUUGGUGGCCUUCGGGAACUCUGAGACAGGUGCUGCAUGGCUGUCGUCAGCUCGUGUUGUGAAAUGUUGGGUUAAGUCCCGCAACGAGCGCAACCCUUAUCCUUUGUUGCCAGCGGCUCGGCCGGGAACUCAAAGGAGACUGCCGGUGAUAAACCGGAGGAAGGUGGGGAUGACGUCAAGUCAUCAUGGCCCUUACGGCCAGGGCUACACACGUGCUACAAUGGCGCAUACAAAGAGAAGCGACCUCGCGAGAGCAAGCGGACCUCAUAAAGUGCGUCGUAGUCCGGAUUGGAGUCUGCAACUCGACUCCAUGAAGUCGGAAUCGCUAGUAAUCGUAGAUCAGAAUGCUACGGUGAAUACGUUCCCGGGCCUUGUACACACCGCCCGUCACACCAUGGGAGUGGGUUGCAAAAGAAGUAGGUAGCUUAACCUUCGGGAGGGCGCUUACCACUUUGUGAUUCAUGACUGGGGUGAAGUCGUAACAAGGUAGGCGUAGCGAG
RNAcentral lists this ribosomal RNA (522 nucleotides) under uncultured bacterium. Its description in RNAcentral is "bacterial SSU rRNA". It matches the Rfam family "Bacterial small subunit ribosomal RNA", at positions 988 to 1509 of the family's 1533-position model. The record is from RNAcentral.